RNAcentral lists this non-coding RNA (22 nucleotides) under Rattus norvegicus (Norway rat). The record is from RNAcentral. Lineage: Eukaryota; Metazoa; Chordata; Mammalia; Rodentia; Muridae.
UUCUUUGGGAUUGUGGUGUCAC